CUUAGCUGUUAUGAGUCACUCCGGCUUAAAAGAGGAUUUUGCUUUCAGAUGCCUUUUGCCUUAAAAGUGGCAUCACUGAAGGGGACAGCUGUUACUGCUGUGGGAGAUCAAGAGCUCCUUCCAGUUGCAUCUUCUGUGUCAUCUGCAAAACCCCCAGUUACAAUCCCCAGUGUGCUGGCUGCAGAGAGGCCACCUUGUCAACUGGGAUCCCAUCAAGUGCUCUGAGCUCCUGUCCCUCCAUCAGAACUGAAGAGGUGCAGCAUGGCUCACAACUGCCUGCAGUGUAUCAAGUACCUAAUGUUUGUUUUCAACCUUCUCUUCUGGGUGAGUACACUUUUGGAACCGUGAAACGGUUUUUGUGUCUGUUUACUGAGGUGGAAGAUGAACUUGUUGCUG
This 396-nucleotide long non-coding RNA is filed under the name Serinus canaria (Common canary). RNAcentral describes it as "lncRNA (ENSSCAG00000014516.1)". The record is from RNAcentral. Lineage: Eukaryota; Metazoa; Chordata; Aves; Passeriformes; Fringillidae.